Molecule: ribosomal RNA, 224 nt
Filed under: uncultured bacterium
Lineage: Bacteria
Description: partial 16S ribosomal RNA
Rfam family: Bacterial small subunit ribosomal RNA
Source: RNAcentral
GUAAUGUAGUAGGUAACUUCGCCUAGUAGUGGGGGACAACGUGUGGAAACGCACGCUAAUACCGCAUACGCUCUACGGAGGAAAGCGGGGGAUCUUCGGACCUCGUGCUACUAGAUGGGCCUAUAUUGGAUUAGCUAGUUGGUAGGGUAAAGGCCUACCAAGGCGACGAUCCAUAGCUGGUUUGAGAGAAUGAUCAGCCACACUGGGACUGAGACACGGCCCAG